UCUACUCAAAUGCAAAUGGAGGACUAGCAACAAAAAGGGAAGGUAAUAUAGCAAGCUGUAUGAUUGAUUCUAGUCCUUUGCAUGCUAAAGUCAAGACCCUUUCUCAUCAGUUGCUUGAUUGCACUUCAAACCUACAAUCGCACUUCAACCAAAGUUGAAAGGAAAAAAGAUGCCACUCAAUCCCCCUUAAUUAAGGAGACUUUUGGCCUAGUAGCUAGAAAAAUAGUGAUGGGACAAUCCAUGAUGUUCUCGCACCUUAUUCAUCUGUCCUGGUAUAGCCAUUUCUCACAGAAGCACAAACAUAGUGGAGGUAUCCACUGGGUUAAGAAAAGACUACUAACAAAAG
Molecule: long non-coding RNA, 346 nt
Organism: Eucalyptus grandis
Lineage: Eukaryota; Viridiplantae; Streptophyta; Magnoliopsida; Myrtales; Myrtaceae
Exons: 3
Source: RefSeq, a predicted model, not a curated record